RNAcentral lists this long non-coding RNA (1403 nucleotides) under Canis lupus dingo (dingo). Its description in RNAcentral is "lncRNA (ENSCAFG00020000677.1)". Lineage: Eukaryota; Metazoa; Chordata; Mammalia; Carnivora; Canidae. The record is from RNAcentral.
CCCGCCCGCAGCGCGGAGCCUCGGGGGGCGCCGCAGGGGGGACGGGGCGAGGGGAGGGAGCCCUCUACCCCCGAAUGGGCGACGCAGGAGUCCAUCCUCCCAAGAACUUUCAGCGCCACCCCGCGUGUGCACGGACGCACCCAGGUGGUAGACGCCGACCUCCGGACGGAUGCCCUGUGACAUCCCCCGGCGGGGCUGGUCUGCCUCCCGCUCCGCACCUUCGAUCCGCCGCGGAGCCCUGCCUUCCAGAAUGGUCUCUCCUCUCGGGGACUAACGGUUGCGUGUCAAGCCCCUCCGGCCACAGACUGUUACUCCUGAGCUUCCUGUUAGCAUGUAUAGGAUCGUCUCCUUUUUCAUCGAAACGCACGCUCGUCACCCUACUGCUAGCCUUAACCUACAAUGAUUCCAUUUCAGCUGCCCUUGCCUGUGGGGAAAGCUUCCUGAACGUUGUUAUCUCAUUGCAAGCGAGGAGUCCGCUCCUUUAUGCAAAACGAUUUUAUUUAUUUAUUCAUGAGAAAGAGAGAGAGAGAGAGGCAGAGACACAGGCAGAGGAAGAAGCAGGCUCCAUGCAAGGAGCCCGAUGCAGGACUCGAUCCCAGGACUCCGGGGUCACGCCCCGGGCCGAAGUUUAAAAGCCCUCUGGAUGAAGACAGCAAGUGUCCUGCCAAAUACAUUCUUCUAAUUCUUGUGAAAGUCAGAGUAAUAACAAAAAGAGACUGGAAGCUUCCCAAACAGGGGAAAUGGUGAACAAAUGCCAGGGUCAGGAGAGAGUCGAGUCUACUUAGGCCACUGAAGAACCAGCCUGGUGGAGGCAGACACUGAACGAGACGUUUGGAAAGACAGGGUGACGCCAGAUUCAGGCUACAGAUUGCUUACAAGACCAGGCCAAGACAUGUGCCUGAGCCACUCACGAGGCAACAAGAACUUAUAAAUGAUCAACUCUGACUGAUAAGAUUAAAAUGUUUUUAUUUUUAUUUUUUUAAGAUUUUUAUUUUAGGUGUGCCUCGGCGUCCCAAACUACUACCCUAAGACUGCUCAGGCAGUGAUGUUUCAAAAAGACUGAAAUUAAAAGAUUCUGAAAGAUGGCAGACUGGUGAGGCUCAACCAACACCUCCCAAGUUCGUGCUGUUCCUCUGGGGCCCUGCAGGUCAGUGACCACAAGCCAGUUCCUGUCUUUGAGGAGCUCAAAUUGACUGGGAGGGGUACCAACAAAAGUGUAGUGUGGUGGGUAUGACAACAGGACCUGCUGCAAAGUCUGGUGGGAGAGAAGAGCCCAACGUAGUCUGGAAAGAAAGGCAGAAGGUAAAGGGACAGAAAGCUGGGAGACUCUGUCCCCAGCCUCACCUGUGGAAAGUUAGCUAUGAGGAAAGGGAAGAACUUUACAGGGCAAAGCAAUGAGCUGG